GACGAACGCUGGCGGCGUGCCUAAUACAUGCAAGUAGAACGCUGAAGAGAGGAGCUUGCUCUUCUUGGAUGAGUUGCGAACGGGUGAGUAACGCGUAGGUAACCUGCCUUGUAGCGGGGGAUAACUAUUGGAAACGAUAGCUAAUACCGCAUAACAAUGGAUGACACAUGUCAUUUAUUUGAAAGGGGCAAUUGCUCCACUACAAGAUGGACCUGCGUUGUAUUAGCUAGUAGGUGAGGUAAUGGCUCACCUAGGCGACGAUACAUAGCCGACCUGAGAGGGUGAUCGGCCACACUGGGACUGAGACACGGCCCAGGCUCCUACGGGAGGCAGCAGUAGGGAAUCUUCGGCAAUGGGGGCAACCCUGACCGAGCAACGCCGCGUGAGUGAAGAAGGUUUUCGGAUCGUAAAGCUCUGUUGUAAGUCAAGAACGGGUGUGAGAGUGGAAAGUUCACACUGUGACGGUAGCUUACCAGAAAGGGACGGCUAACUACGUGCCAGCAGCCGCGGUAAUACGUAGGUCCCGAGCGUUGUCCGGAUUUAUUGGGCGUAAAGCGAGCGCAGGCGGUUUGAUAAGUCUGAAGUUAAAGGCUGUGGCUCAACCAUAGUUCGCUUUGGAAACUGUCAAACUUGAGUGCAGAAGGGGAGAGUGGAAUUCCAUGUGUAGCGGUGAAAUGCGUAGAUAUAUGGAGGAACACCGGUGGCGAAAGCGGCUCUCUGGUCUGUAACUGACGCUGAGGCUCGAAAGCGUGGGGAGCGAACAGGAUUAGAUACCCUGGUAGUCCACGCCGUAAACGAUGAGUGCUAGGUGUUGGAUCCUUUCCGGGAUUCAGUGCCGCAGCUAACGCAUUAAGCACUCCGCCUGGGGAGUACGACCGCAAGGUUGAAACUCAAAGGAAUUGACGGGGGCCCGCACAAGCGGUGGAGCAUGUGGUUUAAUUCGAAGCAACGCGAAGAACCUUACCAGGUCUUGACAUCCCGAUGCUAUUUCUAGAGAUAGAAAGUUACUUCGGUACAUCGGUGACAGGUGGUGCAUGGUUGUCGUCAGCUCGUGUCGUGAGAUGUUGGGUUAAGUCCCGCAACGAGCGCAACCCCUAUUGUUAGUUGCCAUCAUUCAGUUGGGCACUCUAGCGAGACUGCCGGUAAUAAACCGGAGGAAGGUGGGGAUGACGUCAAAUCAUCAUGCCCCUUAUGACCUGGGCUACACACGUGCUACAAUGGUUGGUACAACGAGUUGCGAGUCGGUGACGGCGAGCUAAUCUCUUAAAGCCAAUCUCAGUUCGGAUUGUAGGCUGCAACUCGCCUACAUGAAGUCGGAAUCGCUAGUAAUCGCGGAUCAGCACGCCGCGGUGAAUACGUUCCCGGGCCU
This 1369-nucleotide ribosomal RNA is filed under the name uncultured bacterium. RNAcentral describes it as "bacterial SSU rRNA". It matches the Rfam family "Bacterial small subunit ribosomal RNA", at positions 28 to 1381 of the family's 1533-position model. The record is from RNAcentral.